GACGAACGCUGGCGGCGUGCUUAACACAUGCAAGUCGAACGGAAAGGCCCUGCUUUUGUGGGGUGCUCGAGUGGCGAACGGGUGAGUAACACGUGAGUAACCUGCCCUUGACUUUGGGAUAACUUCAGGAAACUGGGGCUAAUACCGGAUAGGAGCUCCUGCUGCAUGGUGGGGGUUGGAAAGUUUCGGCGGUUGGGGAUGGACUCGCGGCUUAUCAGCUUGUUGGUGGGGUAGUGGCUUACCAAGGCUUUGACGGGUAGUCGGCCUGAGAGGGUGACCGGCCACAUUGGGACUGAGGUACGGGCCAGGCUCCUACGGGAGGCAAGAGGGGGGAAUAAUGCACAAUGGGGCGAAGGCUGAAGCAAGAACGCCGGGGGCGGGAAGACCGCCUUCGGGUUUGAAACCGCUUUCGCCUGUGACGGAGCGUGGGUGACGGUAAUGGGUAAAGAAGCACCGGCUAACUACGUG
RNAcentral lists this ribosomal RNA (468 nucleotides) under uncultured bacterium. RNAcentral's name for it is "partial 16S ribosomal RNA". It matches the Rfam family "Bacterial small subunit ribosomal RNA", at positions 28 to 507 of the family's 1533-position model. The record is from RNAcentral.